GACGAACGCUGGCGGCGUGCUUAACACAUGCAAGUCGAACGGAAAGGCCCUGCUUUUGUGGGGUGCUCGAGUGGCGAACGGGUGAGUAACACGUGAGUAACCUGCCCUUGACGUGGGGAUAACUUCAGGAAACUGGGGCUAAUACCGGAUAGGAGCUCCUGCUGCAUGGUGGGGGUUGGAAAGUUUCGGCGGUUUGGGAUGGACUCGCGGCUUAUCAGCUUGUUGGUGGGGUAGUGGCUUACCAAGGCUUUGACGGGUAGCCGGCCUGAGAGGGUGGCCGGCCACCUUGGGCCUGCGGUACGGCCCAGACUCCUACGGGGGGCAGCAGUGGGGAAUCUUGCACAAUGGGCGGGAGCCUGAUGAAGCAACGCCGCGUGCGGGAUGCCGGCCUUCGGGUUGUAAACCGCUUUCGCCUGUGACGAAGCGUGAGUGACGGUACUGGGUAAAGAAGCACCGGCUAACUACGUG
RNAcentral lists this ribosomal RNA (468 nucleotides) under uncultured bacterium. Its description in RNAcentral is "partial 16S ribosomal RNA". It matches the Rfam family "Bacterial small subunit ribosomal RNA", at positions 28 to 507 of the family's 1533-position model. The record is from RNAcentral.